UCGUCUAUUCACCGUUAGAUCUUUAUCAAAUGGCUUAGAAUCACACCGUUGUUCCUUUUCCUUUUACAAAAGCAUGCCGUCAUCUUAUUUUCCAUGUUGGUAAAUCAACCCACUCGUAGGCCCAUAACAAAAAACCUAUACACAAUGAUGGAGACAUCCCUUCAAUGAACAUCAACAAUAUCAUCCACCAACAACAGCAACAACAACAAGAGAAUGGAGGGAAGCUAUAGUUCUAUUGUUUAAGUGUUUUUCUUUUGGGUAAGUAAGUAAGUAAGUGAGUGCACGCAACAAAAACAAAAACGGUUGUAACUAACUUAAUGCAAAACCAAUUGCAAAUGCAAAUUUAGAGAGGUUGGGUUUUGUAACGGCUUUUGCGUUGCAUGCGGUAAUUGGUUGCAAAUUGCAAUGACGAAGUUGUUCAACGUUUCCACUGCAGCUACUAAUAUGGGUUUCAAUAUUUCUCAGGAAUUCUUCUUCUUCUUCUUCUUCAGCCACAAAUUCCAAGGUGUAUGUUUCUAUUUCUCUUCCCUUUUUUCUUAUUCUUCUUAGCUUCACAACAACAACACACCGAUAUCCAAUGAACUUUGUUUGAAUCUUUUUGGAAUCCGAUGAUCUUUUUUUGUUUGUGAGCUAGGUUGUUGUUUUGAUUUGUUAAUCUCAAAAUUCUUUCAUUCUUUUCUGCAUAUAAUAACUUCAUAUUCUUUUAUUGUUAUAUAAUUAUUACUAUUACUGCCACUCACAAUUACAUUCACAUUCACAAUUCACAGUAACAGAUUCAAUUCAUUCAUAUAUAGGAACACUUUUGUUUGAAUUUGUAAAGAAAGAAAAAACAAUACAGUUUGAUUGGAUUUGUUUUUGGAAUUUAUACAUUCAUCGGAUUCCUUUUUUUUAAUCGGACAUUAUUGAAAUUGAAACAAUUUUUUCACACACACACAUAGAUUGUUGUCAUCACACACUGCAUUUUCUCUCCUCUAACAUACACAUGUAAAUUGAGUUUUAGGGGAAACAAAAACAAAACCAAAAUUUCUUCCACAUUUGAUCAAAGUUAUUACUAGAAAGAGAGAGAGUAAAAUGUGAGGAUAGCAAAUGCUUGUCUUCUUUUUAAAAACUUAAUUGAUCUAGAAUUUUAAUUUGUGAGAAAAUAAGAGUCAUUCAAUCGAGUAUAGUAACACAAAAUUUAACAAGUUAAAUUAGUAGGAAAGAGUCAAUUUCAAAUAUCACCUUAUCAAAUGCAAGUCCUUUCACACAUAUUUUAUAGAUUUACUUCAAAUGCAAAUUUCAAAUGACAAUAUUUUAACAAACACAGAUACAUAAAUCAAAGUUCUUAUUAAAGUAAACUGAGUCGUUGUAGUUCUACAUCUUCUCUUCCUCUUACUAUUUGAAUAUUGAAGGAACCAAUAACACGUUAAUGUGCUUUGUGAAAAUGUACCCCUUGUUCAUAUACUCUAACAAUGUUAGAUCCCAAUCUAUUACAUCAAAAUUUCGGUUGUGAAAUGCAAAUACAUUAUAAUUACAGAUCAAAGAGAUAGACCUGCAUUUGCAAAGCACUACAAAAUAUUUAUUAGAAACCAGAAAUUAGGGUCCUAUACUACUCGUUUUUUUUAAUUGUUAUAAAUUUUCACCGUUACUCUUUACUUAUUAUUUGAUUUAUUUAUGAAUUAAUCAGGUUCAAACGAUGAAACUGAAGGCAUCACAAAGGGAAAUUGCUGAAUAUAUUAAGAAUAGUUGAUGUUUGUUGCCUCUGGUGUUGUGUGAUAGGCAAUUAUUAGUAGUACUUCGUUGUAGGAAGAAUUCCUUUAAAAAUAUGAGAAUAUUCUUUUUCAAAAAAGUCAAAUUGAGUUUUAACUUCUAUCUAUAAAAAUAAUGGGCGGUUAAACACAAAAUAGGUUUUUAAUUCUAAUAUAACCAACAAAUAAAAUGGUAACCGACACUACUAGUAAAAGGAAAACAACUUUACCUUGGUGACAAAUUUUAUACUUCCCUCACCUCAAUUUGAACUAUGAACCAUCCUUAUUAAGAUUGAAGCUUCCAUAGAAAUUGAAAUAAAUCAAAAUACCUCAAUUUUAUACUUCCCACAUUUUUAUCUUCUAUUUAAUGUAUUUUGUUUUAUAUUAUUAAUAUAAUUAUUGUAGCAUAAGUUGAGACACUGACCUAUAAUGUUGUGGAUAGUUCCUACCAUUGUCAAACUCAAAUGUAACUAAAUCUUAGAUUGGAUGCGACUCUCAUAUUCUCACAAUCAAAACUCUAGAUCAAGUGAGUUUGUUUGUUUAAAAAGAGGUAAACAUUUGCUCACGGGUGGUCACAUGUUUCACUAGCUCCGUGAUGGUAACAUUGUCCCAUUCAUUAUUGCAUAUAAUAGCAUCAUUUUUUGCUUUGGCAUUGCAUUGAUAGGCUCAUUUACAUGUAGUAUCUCUUUUGUCUUUAUUUUACUUGAUAGACCAUUUUACGUGCAAAGAGUGCUCAUAACAUUUGAAAUACUGUUCAAAGAGAUUUUUAUUGAUAAUUUAGAUGAUUCAACAAAUUCAUCUAAUUUCUCUCAUUUUGUAACCCUAACCUCCCGCGAGAAAGAUCAAAAUCAUCUCUACCUCGACACUUCUUCAUGGAACAAGCACAUGAACCCUAACCGCAGUUAAAGAAGUGAAUGAAGUCAUGGAAAGACAAGUGGAAGACUCCCUCUCGAUUUUUCCUCAUUAAGCGAUUCUUAUUGUAGUCACUGCAACACUUUCAUCAUAAGUUCAAACUCGUCAAUGUUGGAGCCAGUGCAGGUCCUAUGGGAGUACCAGUAUUUAAUCCAGGGUUCCAGCACAGAAGACACGUCCAACUCACUUGGUUGUGCAGGCGUGUUUCCAAAGCCACAAAGUACAUCCAAAUCAUGACGCUAUACUCACUCCAUAUAGAAGAUCAAUUUAGUUCUCCUCAUUCAAAUGCUAAAGUAUGGUUGUUAAUCUCAAGAAUUUGUGUUGAUACCGAAUCUGUUGUGAUGUUAUUGUCAUUGAAUGUCAUCGUGAAAGGUAUUAUAGAUGAAGUUGAUUUGAGUCAUUAUACAUUAACAAAAGAUGAGAUUUCAUCCAAAGAAUAAUAUGAGAUUUUAGAGUGGAGUUGCCCUUAGAAUGAUUAUACAGUGGUUGGAUGACAUAGCAUCAUCUUUUCAAGCAGUAGUCAAAGAAAAUUAUCGGGCACAUUAUUCCUUAAAGAAGAAAAUUGAUCUUGAUAAACGUUUUGUGAACUGAUUAAGGUGCACUCCCUCUAUCGUGUAUACUUUACCUCUUUUCUUCGUGAUUGAAUAGAUGAAAAAAUUUGCAUCUUAAAUGCUCGAAAUUUAAAAUAACAUUUGUGUUUAAUGACAUUAUUAACUUGGUAGAAGGAAAUAGUUUGAUAUUUCAAGAAUUUAAUUAUUAUUUUUCCUUGUAUAAUUACUUGUACAAUUACUGUAUCCUAUCAAAAAAAUUGAAGAUUUGUGGUUUGGCCCAUGGAGAUGCAUCUUUUUGGGGAAUUAUUAAAUUGCAAAAAGAUUGACUCGAUACUUCAAAGGGUUGUAAAUCAUAUAAGAAAUGAUUGCAACUUGAAGAGCUUUUGAAAUUUUCCUUGCCUGCUACAACACUCGGUUUCAAAGGUGUGCUUAGAGAAGCCUUGUUACAUAGCUGGAGUGGGCUAUGUUGCCAAAACCCAGAGUGCCAUACUCCGAAAUGCACUUGAUAAGAGUGCAUAUAAAGCCGCAGAAGAAAUUUAGAGAUUUCAACCUGGAUGUGAACAGAAAACCUGUAAUUCUUGUUUUAGAUUUUGAGGUUCAGGUGUUGAAGAAAUUAUAAGGUUAUGUUUCACAUAUAUAUCUAUAUAUAUAGUAGAAAUGGAGCUAUAUAUAUAUCUUUCACGAUGACAUUCAAUGACAAUAACAUCACAACAGAUUCGGUAUCAACACAAAUUCUUGAGAUUAACAACCAUACUUUAGCAUUUGAAUGAGGAGAACUAACUUGAUCUUCUAUAUGGAGUGAGUAUAGCGUCAUGAUUUGGAUGUACUUUGUGGCUUUGGAAACACGCCUGCACAACUAUGAGAAUAUUGCUUUAGGCUUUAGCUAUAUAUCAUCUGUGAUUUUGUUUUAAUAUAAAGAAAGAACAACUCUUAUCAAAGUGAGUUGGAUGUGUGCUAUGUGCUAGAAUGUUUUAAUAUGAAGAAAGAACAACUAUUACCCAAGUG
Cicer arietinum (chickpea) is the source of this 4195-nucleotide long non-coding RNA. RefSeq lists it as uncharacterized. The record is from RefSeq and is a predicted model, not a curated record. Lineage: Eukaryota; Viridiplantae; Streptophyta; Magnoliopsida; Fabales; Fabaceae.